Molecule: ribosomal RNA, 561 nt
Filed under: uncultured bacterium
Lineage: Bacteria
Description: bacterial SSU rRNA
Rfam family: Bacterial small subunit ribosomal RNA
Source: RNAcentral
CCUACGGGAGGCAGCAGUGGGGAAUAUUGGACAAUGGGCGAAAGCCUGAUCCAGCAAUGCCGCGUGAGUGAUGAAGGCCUUAGGGUUGUAAAGCUCUUUUACCAGGGAUGAUAAUGACAGUACCUGGAGAAUAAGCUCCGGCUAACUCCGUGCCAGCAGCCGCGGUAAUACGGAGGGAGCUAGCGUUAUUCGGAAUUACUGGGCGUAAAGCGUACGUAGGCGGUUAUUCAAGUCAGAGGUGAAAGCCCGGGGCUCAACCCCGGAACUGCCUUUGAAACUAGAUAACUAGAGUCUUGGAGAGGUUAGUGGAAUUCCGAGUGUAGAGGUGAAAUUCGUAGAUAUUCGGAAGAACACCAGUGGCGAAGGCGACUAACUGGACAAGUACUGACGCUGAGGUACGAAAGCGUGGGGAGCAAACAGGAUUAGAUACCCUGGUAGUCCACGCCGUAAACGAUGAUAACUAGCUGUCCGGGCACUUGGUGCCUGGGUGGCGCAGCUAACGCAUUAAGUUAUCCGCCUGGGGAGUACGGUCGCAAGAUUAAAACUCAAAGGAAUUGACGG